Molecule: ribosomal RNA, 481 nt
Filed under: Streptomyces sp.
Lineage: Bacteria; Bacillati; Actinomycetota; Actinomycetes; Kitasatosporales; Streptomycetaceae
Description: bacterial SSU rRNA
Rfam family: Bacterial small subunit ribosomal RNA
Source: RNAcentral
GGUGGAUUAGUGGCGAACGGGUGAGUAACACGUGGGCAAUCUGCCCUUCACUCUGGGACAAGCCCUGGAAACGGGGUCUAAUACCGGAUAACACUCUGUCCCGCAUGGGACGGGGUUAAAAGCUCCGGCGGUGAAGGAUGAGCCCGCGGCCUAUCAGCUUGUUGGUGGGGUAAUGGCCUACCAAGGCGACGACGGGUAGCCGGCCUGAGAGGGCGACCGGCCACACUGGGACUGAGACACGGCCCAGACUCCUACGGGAGGCAGCAGUGGGGAAUAUUGCACAAUGGGCGAAAGCCUGAUGCAGCGACGCCGCGUGAGGGAUGACGGCCUUCGGGUUGUAAACCUCUUUCAGCAGGGAAGAAGCGAAAGUGACGGUACCUGCAGAAGAAGCGCCGGCUAACUACGUGCCAGCAGCCGCGGUAAUACGUAGGGCGCAAGCGUUGUCCGGAAUUAUUGGGCGUAAAGAGCUCGUAGGCGGCUU